This 584-nucleotide long non-coding RNA is filed under the name Anser brachyrhynchus (Pink-footed goose). Its description in RNAcentral is "lncRNA (ENSABRG00000018005.1)". Lineage: Eukaryota; Metazoa; Chordata; Aves; Anseriformes; Anatidae. The record is from RNAcentral.
AUGAAGGAAGAGCUGGUUCUUCGAACCAACAGGCUGAACACACAAUACAGUGUAAAGAAAAAGCACAAGCACAGAGUGUGCGUAUUUUCUGUGGAGGCAGAAAUAAUAGUUUCUUUGGACUCACGAAACAUGCCAGGACAGGAAGAACAUCUCUCACACAUGAGCUCCCAGAGUUACAAGACCAAGAGAACAAGAAUGCCGCUUCCAUUCAUCAUGGGAUUGCACGCAGGGGGAAGAUAUGCACAGCUAACGGUGAAGGAGUAAAGCUCUCUGAAGAUUGAUUCAAUUAAUCUGCAAAAUGUUUCAAGAUUUUCAGACCAAAAGUUAUGGAGGAGCAUUAUAAAUGAACACUUCUGCAACGGCCAAUGGAAAAAAAAAAUCGCAAUGAUACAAAGUGGUUCUUUUAACAGUUAAUGAUUUACAAAAUAAUAAUAAUAAUAAUAAUCUGCUAUGUUAUGCAAAAAGAUAUUUAGAAGAAAUAUUAGAUACUCUGCCAUUACUUACUGGGCUUCCAAGUUUAUUUCUGUAAGAAUUCUAAAAGCAUUCACUCCAAAGUUUUUGAAAUAAAAUUAAAAGUGUGUGCA